This 396-nucleotide ribosomal RNA is filed under the name uncultured bacterium. RNAcentral describes it as "bacterial SSU rRNA". It matches the Rfam family "Bacterial small subunit ribosomal RNA", at positions 28 to 429 of the family's 1533-position model. The record is from RNAcentral.
GACGAACGCUGGCGGCGUGCUUAACACAUGCAAGUCGAGCGGUAAGGCCCUUUCGGGGGUACACGAGCGGCGAACGGGUGAGUAACACGUGGGUGACCUGCCCUCAGCUCUGGGAUAAGCCUGGGAAACCGGGUCUAAUACUGGAUAUGACUCCAUGACGCAUGUUGUGGGGUGGAAAGCCUUGUGCGGCUGAGGAUGGGCCCGCGGCCUAUCAGCUUGUUGGUGGGGUGANGGCCUACCAAGGCGACGACGGGUAGCCGGCCUGAGAGGGCGACCGGCCACACUGGGACUGAGACACGGCCCAGACUCCUACGGGAGGCAGCAGUGGGGAAUCUUGCGCAAUGGGCGAAAGCCUGACGCAGCGACGCCGCGUGAGGGAUGACGGCCUGGUGUAAC